This 301-nucleotide ribosomal RNA is filed under the name uncultured bacterium. RNAcentral describes it as "partial 16S ribosomal RNA". It matches the Rfam family "Bacterial small subunit ribosomal RNA", at positions 509 to 809 of the family's 1533-position model. The record is from RNAcentral.
CAGCCGCCGCGGUAAGACAGAGGAUGCAAGCGUUAUCCGGAAUGAUUGGGCGUAAAGCGUCUGUAGGUGGCUUUUCAAGUCCGCCGUCAAAUCCCAGGGCUCAACCCUGGACAGGCGGUGGAAACUACCAAGCUAGAGUACGGUAGGGGCAGAGGGAAUUUCCGGUGGAGUGGUGAAGUGCGUUGAGAUCGGAAAGAACACCAACGGCGAAAGCACUCUGCUGGGCCGACACUGACACUGAGAGACGAAAGCUAGGGGAGCAAAUGGGAUUAGAUACCCGUGUAGUCCCUGUCUCUUAUAA